UUUCGCCUCAGGAGGGGUCCAAAUGAUAUUAGCUAGUUGGUGAGGUAACGGCUCACCAAGGCGUAGAUGUCUAGCGGGUGUGAGAGCACGACCCGCGCCACUGGCACUGAGACACUGGCCAGACUCCUACGGGAGGCUGCAGUCGAGGAUCUUCGGCAAUGGGCGCAAGCCUGACCGAGCGACGCCGCGUGUGCGAUGAAGGCCUUCGGGUUGUAAAGCACUGUCGAGAGGGAGAAAGCCGAAAGGUUGAUCUAUCUCUGGAGGAAGCACGGGCUAAGUUCGUGCCAGCAGCCGCGGUAAGACGAACCGUGCGAACGUUGUUCGGAAUCACUGGGCCUAAAGGGCGCGUAGGCGGGCAACCAAGUCUGAGGUGAAAUCCUCCAGCUUAACUGGAGAAGUGCCCCGGAUACUGGUUGCCUCGAGGAUGGUAGGGGCAUCUGGAACUAGCGGUGGAGCGGUGAAAUGCGUUGAUAUCGCUAGGAACUCCGGUGGCGAAGGCGAGGUGCUGGACCAUUUCUGACGCUGAGGCGCGAAAGCAGGGGGAGCGAACGGGAUUAGAUACCCCGGUAGUCCUGGCCCUAAACGAUGAGAACUAGAUAGUGGUCUUGAUAUGAGAUCACUGUCGGGGCAAAAGUGCUAAGUUCUCCGCCUGGGGAGUAUGGUCGCAGGGCUGAAACUCAAAGGAAUUGACGGGGGCUCACACAAGCGGUGGAGCAUGUGGCUUAAUUCGAGGCUACGCGAAGAACCUUAUCCUGGGCUUGACAUGUGCGAAAGCGGUAGGAAGUAGAAAGCGGAAACGUCAACGAACGG
Molecule: ribosomal RNA, 810 nt
Filed under: uncultured Planctomycetaceae bacterium
Lineage: Bacteria; Pseudomonadati; Planctomycetota; Planctomycetia; Planctomycetales; Planctomycetaceae
Description: bacterial SSU rRNA
Rfam family: Bacterial small subunit ribosomal RNA
Source: RNAcentral